CGACUUACCAACCCGAUGCAAACUGCGAAUACCGGAGAAUGUUAUCACGGGAGACACACGGCGGGUGCUAACGUCCGUCGUGAAGAGGGAAACAACCCAGACCGCCAGCUAAGGUCCCAAAGUCAUGGUUAAGUGGGAAACGAUGUGGGAAGGCCCAGACAGCCAGGAUGUUGGCUUAGAAGCAGCCAUCAUUUAAAGAAAGCGUAAUAGCUCACUGGUCGAGUCGGCCUGCGCGGAAGAUGUAACGGGGCUAAACCAUGCACCGAAGCUGCGGCAGCGACGCUGAUGCGUUGUUGGGUAGGGGAGCGUUCUGUAAGCCUGCGAAGGUGUGCUGUGAGGCAUGCUGGAGGUAUCAGAAGUGCGAAUGCUGACAUAAGUAACGAUAAAGCGGGUGAAAAGCCCGCUCGCCGGAAGACCAAGGGUUCCUGUCCAACGUUAAUCGGGGCAGGGUGAGUCGACCCCUAAGGCGAGGCCGAAAGGCGUAGUCGAUGGGAAACAGGUUAAUAUUCCUGUACUUGGUGUUACUGCGAAGGGGGGACGGAGAAGGCUAUGUUGGCCGGGCGACGGUUGUCCCGGUUUAAGCGUGUAGGCUGGUUUUCCAGGCAAAUCCGGAAAAUCAAGGCUGAGGCGUGAUGACGAGGCACUACGGUGCUGAAGCAACAAAUGCCCUGCUUCCAGGAAAAGCCUCUAAGCAUCAGGUAACAUCAAAUCGUACCCCAAACCGACACAGGUGGUCAGGUAGAGAAUACCAAGGCGCUUGAGAGAACUCGGGUGAAGGAACUAGGCAAAAUGGUGCCGUAACUUCGGGAGAAGGCACGCUGAUAUGUAGGUGAAGUCCCUCGCGGAUGGAGCUGAAAUCAGUCGAAGAUACCAGCUGGCUGCAACUGUUUAUUAAAAACACAGCACUGUGCAAACACGAAAGUGGACGUAUACGGUGUGACGCCUGCCCGGUGCCGGAAGGUUAAUUGAUGGGGUCAGCGCAAGCGAAGCUCUUGAUCGAAGCCCCGGUAAACGGCGGCCGUAACUAUAACGGUCCUAAGGUAGCGAAAUUCCUUGUCGGGUAAGUUCCGACCUGCACGAAUGGCGUAAUGAUGGCCAGGCUGUCUCCACCCGAGACUCAGUGAAAUUGAACUCGCUGUGAAGAUGCAGUGUACCCGCGGCAAGACGGAAAGACCCCGUGAACCUUUACUAUAGCUUGACACUGAACAUUGAGCCUUGAUGUGUAGGAUAGGUGGGAGGCUUUGAAGUGUGGACGCCAGUCUGCAUGGAGCCGACCUUGAAAUACCACCCUUUAAUGUUUGAUGUUCUAACGUUGACCCGUAAUCCGGGUUGCGGACAGUGUCUGGUGGGUAGUUUGACUGGGGCGGUCUCCUCCUAAAGAGUAACGGAGG
RNAcentral lists this ribosomal RNA (1391 nucleotides) under Escherichia coli. RNAcentral describes it as "partial 23S ribosomal RNA". It matches the Rfam family "Bacterial large subunit ribosomal RNA", at positions 932 to 2306 of the family's 2925-position model. Lineage: Bacteria; Pseudomonadati; Pseudomonadota; Gammaproteobacteria; Enterobacterales; Enterobacteriaceae. The record is from RNAcentral.